This 490-nucleotide ribosomal RNA is filed under the name uncultured bacterium. Its description in RNAcentral is "partial 16S ribosomal RNA". It matches the Rfam family "Bacterial small subunit ribosomal RNA", at positions 30 to 507 of the family's 1533-position model. The record is from RNAcentral.
AUUGAACGCUGGCGGCAGGCUUAACACAUGCAAGUCGAGCGGUAGCACAAGAGAGCUUGCUCUCUGGGUGACGAGCGGCGGACGGGUGAGUAAUGUCUGGGAAACUGCCUGAUGGAGGGGGAUAACUACUGGAAACGGUAGCUAAUACCGCAUAACGUCGCAAGACCAAAGGGGGGGACCUUCGGGCCUCUUGCCAUCAGAUGUGCCCAGAUGGGAUUAGCUAGUAGGUGGGGUAAUGGCUCACCUAGGCGACGAUCCCUAGCUGGUCUGAGAGGAUGACCAGCCACACUGGAACUGAGACACGGUCCAGACUCCUACGGGAGGCAGCAGUGGGGAAUAUUGCACAAUGGGCGCAAGCCUGAUGCAGCCAUGCCGCGUGUGUGAAGAAGGCCUUCGGGUUGUAAAGCACUUUCAGCGAGGAGGAAGGUGGUGAACUUAAUACGUUCAUCAAUUGACGUUACUCGCAGAAGAAGCACCGGCUAACUCCGUG